RNAcentral lists this ribosomal RNA (468 nucleotides) under uncultured bacterium. RNAcentral describes it as "partial 16S ribosomal RNA". It matches the Rfam family "Bacterial small subunit ribosomal RNA", at positions 28 to 507 of the family's 1533-position model. The record is from RNAcentral.
GACGAACGCUGGCGGCGUGCUUAACACAUGCAAGUCGAACGGAAAGGCCCUGCUUUUGUGGGGUGCUCGAGUGGCGAACGGGUGAGUAACACGUGAGUAACCUGCCCUUGACUUUGGGAUAACUUCAGGAAACUGGGGCUAAUACCGGAUAGGAGCUCCUGCUGCAGGGUGGGGGUUGGAAAGUUUCGGCGGUUGGGGAUGGACUCGCGGGUUAUCAGCUUGUUGGUGGGGUAGUGGCUUACCAAGGCUUUGACGGGUAGCCGGCCUGAGAGGGUGACCGGCCACAUUGGGACUGCGAUACGGCCCAGAGUGCUACGGGAGGCAGCAGUGGGGAAUAUGGCACAAUGGGCGGAAGCCUGAUGCAGCAACGCCGCGUGCGGGAUGACGGCCUUCGGGUUGUAAACCGCUUUCGCCUGUGACGAAGCGUGAGUGACGGUAAUGGGUAAAGAAGCACCGGCUAACUACGUG